This 75-nucleotide transfer RNA is filed under the name Achromobacter xylosoxidans A8. RNAcentral's name for it is "tRNA-Cys (GCA) (tRNA-Cys-GCA-2-1)". It matches the Rfam family "tRNA". From Rfam's summary of the family: Transfer RNA (tRNA) molecules are approximately 80 nucleotides in length. RNAcentral also lists the same sequence under 2 other names. Lineage: Bacteria; Pseudomonadati; Pseudomonadota; Betaproteobacteria; Burkholderiales; Alcaligenaceae. The record is from RNAcentral.
GGCGCGGUGGCAGAGUGGCUAUGCAGCAGGAUUGCAAAUCCGCAUAGGUUGGUUCGAUUCCAGCCCGCGCCUCCA